GAGUUUGAUCCUGGCUCAGGAUUAACGCUGGCGGCGUGCCUGACACAUGCAAGUCGAACGAGUUCUAGUUGCCCGCAAGGGUGACUAGCGCGAGUGGCGGACGGGUGAGUAACACGUGGGCAACCUGCCUGAGAGCGCGGAAUAACCCUGCGAAAGCAGAGCUAAUACCGCAUGUGGUUGUUGGUUGGCAUCUUCUAACAACUAAAGUCGCAAGACGCUCUCAGAUGGGGCCCGCGGCCUAUUAGCUAGUUGGUGAGGUAACGGCCCACCAAGGCAUUGAUGGGUAGCCUGGUCUGAGAGGACGGACAGCCACACUGGGACUGAGACACGGCCCAGACUCCUACGGGAGGCAGCAGUGAGGAAUUUUCCGCAAUGGGCGAAAGCCUGACGGAGCAACGCCGACGUGAGGGAUGAAGUCUCUAGGGAUGUAAACCUCU
This 437-nucleotide ribosomal RNA is filed under the name uncultured bacterium. Its description in RNAcentral is "bacterial SSU rRNA". It matches the Rfam family "Bacterial small subunit ribosomal RNA", at positions 9 to 434 of the family's 1533-position model. The record is from RNAcentral.